GACGAACGCUGGCGGCGUGCUUAACACAUGCAAGUCGAACGAAGUGGCGCACGGGUGAGUAACGCGUAAUCAACCUGCCCUUCAGAGGGGGACAACAGUUGGCAACGACUGCUAAUACCGCAUACUGAAGGGGGGGAUUGCGUCUGAUUAGCUAGUUGGAGGGGUAACGGCCCACCAAGGCGAUGGUCAGUAGCCGGUCGGAGAGGAAGAAGGGGCACACUGGGACUGGGACACGGCCCAGACCCCUACGGGAGGGAGAAGUGGGGAAUCUGCCGAAAGGGAAGAAAGUCUGACGGAGCAACGCCGCGGGAGUGAGGACGGCCUUCGGGUUGUAAAGUUCUGUUAAUCGGGACGCGGUACCGGAAGAGAAAGCAACGGCUAACUACGUGCCAGCAGCCGCGGUAAUAC
Molecule: ribosomal RNA, 408 nt
Filed under: uncultured bacterium
Lineage: Bacteria
Description: partial 16S ribosomal RNA
Rfam family: Bacterial small subunit ribosomal RNA
Source: RNAcentral